UUUUGGACAAUGGGGGAAACCCUGAUCCAGCGAUCCCGUGUGUGCGACGAAGGCCUUCGGGUUGUAAAGCACUUUUGGCAGGGAAGAAAAGGUUCUGGCUAAUACCCGGCACUGCUGACGGUACCUGCAGAAUAAGCACCGGCUAACUACGUUCCAGCAGCCGCGGUAAUACGUAGGGUGCAAGGGUUAAUCGGAAUUACUGUGCGUAAAGGGUGCGCAGGCGGUUUGGCAAGAAAGAUCUGACAUCCCAGGGAUUAACCUUGGAACUGCAUUCUUAACCGCCAGGCUAGAGUAUAUCAGAGGGGGGUAGAAUUCCGCGUGUAGCAGUGAAAUGCGUAGAGAUGCGGAGGAAUACCGAUGGCGAAGGCAGCCCCCUGGGAUAAUACUGACGCUCAUGCACGAAAGCGUGGGGAGCAAACAGA
Molecule: ribosomal RNA, 422 nt
Filed under: uncultured bacterium
Lineage: Bacteria
Description: partial 16S ribosomal RNA
Rfam family: Bacterial small subunit ribosomal RNA
Source: RNAcentral